CCUACGGGCGGCAGCAGUGAGGAAUAUUGGUCAAUGGACGAGAGUCUGAACCAGCCAAGUAGCGUGAAGGAUGACUGCCCUAUGGGUUGUAAACUUCUUUUAUAUGGGAAUAAAAUGUUCCACGUGUGGGAUUUUGUAUGUACCAUAUGAAUAAGGAUCGGCUAACUCCGUGCCAGCAGCCGCGGUAAUACGGAGGAUCCGAGCGUUAUCCGGAUUUAUUGGGUUUAAAGGGAGCGUAGGUGGAUUGUUAAGUCAGUUGUGAAAGUUUGCGGCUCAACCGUAAAAUUGCAGUUGAAACUGGCAGUCUUGAGUACAGUAGAGGUGGGCGGAAUUCGUGGUGUAGCGGUGAAAUGCUUAGAUAUCACGAAGAACUCCGAGUGCGAAGGCAGUUCACUGGACUGCAACUGACACUGAGGCUCGAAAGUGUGGGUAUCAAACAGGAUUAGAUACCCGUGUAGUC
RNAcentral lists this ribosomal RNA (460 nucleotides) under uncultured bacterium. Its description in RNAcentral is "partial 16S ribosomal RNA". It matches the Rfam family "Bacterial small subunit ribosomal RNA", at positions 338 to 795 of the family's 1533-position model. The record is from RNAcentral.